RNAcentral lists this long non-coding RNA (238 nucleotides) under Solanum tuberosum (potato). RNAcentral describes it as "long non-coding RNA (STUB_LNC011726)". Lineage: Eukaryota; Viridiplantae; Streptophyta; Magnoliopsida; Solanales; Solanaceae. The record is from RNAcentral.
UUAGAAAUCUUGAAUUAUUGUAGGACUUUAAAACUUUAAGUUGUGAACUUUAGAGAACUUGAAUUUUUGUAGGAUUUUAGAACUUUAUAAGAUUGUGAGCGUUAGAAAUCUUGAAUUAUUGUAGGAUUUUAAAACUUUAAGUUGUGAAGUUUAGGGAACUUGAAUUUUUGUAAGAUUUUAGAAUUUUAGGGUGUGAAACCUUAGAAAUCUUGAAUUAUUGUAGAAUAUUAGAACUUUA